RNAcentral lists this ribosomal RNA (1337 nucleotides) under Corollospora cinnamomea. RNAcentral's name for it is "eukaryotic LSU rRNA". It matches the Rfam family "Eukaryotic large subunit ribosomal RNA", at positions 86 to 1369 of the family's 3401-position model. Lineage: Eukaryota; Fungi; Ascomycota; Sordariomycetes; Microascales; Halosphaeriaceae. The record is from RNAcentral.
ACGGCGAGUGAAGCGGCAACAGCUCAAAUUUGAAAUCUGGCCCCGUCCGCGGGUCCGAGUUGUAAUUUGCAGAGGAUGCUUUCGGCGAGGCGCCUUCCGAGUGCCCUGGAACGGGCCGCCGCAUAGGGUGAGAGCCCCGUACGGUCGGACGCCGAGCCGGUGUAAAGCUCCCUCGACGAGUCGAGUAGUUUGGGAAUGCUGCUCUAAACGGGAGGUAAACCCCUUUCUAAAGCUAAAUACCGGCCAGAGACCGAUAGCGCACAAGUAGAGUGAUCGAAAGAUGAAAAGCACUUUGAAAAGAGAGUCAAACAGCACGUGAAAUUGUUGAAAGGGAAGCGCUUGUGGCCAGACUUGCGCCCGGCGGGCUCAGCCGUCCUCGUGGGCGGGUGCAACUCCGCCGGGCGCAGGCCAGCAUCAGCUCGUGGCGGGGGAGAAAGGCGGCGGGAACGUGGCUCUUCGGAGUGUUAUAGCCCCCGCUACGCCCCACCGCGGGCUGAGGUACGCCGCUCCGCAAGGAUGCUGGCGUAAUGGCCAUCAGCGACCCGUCUUGAAACACGGACCAAGGAGUCGUCCUAGCAUGCGAGUGUUAGGGUGCAAAACCCCUACGCGAAAUGAAAGUGAACGGAGGUGAGAGCUUCGGCGCAUCAUCGACCGAUCCUGAUGUUCUCGGAUGGAUUUGAGUAGGAGCAUGCUGGGCCGGACCCGAAAGAAAGUGAACUAUGCUUGGAUAGGGCAAAGCCAGAGGAAACUCUGGUGGAGGCUCGCAGCGGUUCUGACGUGCAAAUCGAUCGUCAAAUCUGAGCAUGGGGGCGAAAGACUAAUCGAACUUUCUAGUAGCUGGUUUCCUGCCGAAGUUUCCCUCAGGAUAGCAGUGUUGAGCUUCAGUUUUAUGAGGUAAAGCGAAUGAUUAGGGACCCGGGGGCGCUCAUUAGCCUUCAUCCAUUCUCAAACUUUAAAUAUGUAAGAAGCCCUCGUUGCUUCGGUGAACGUGGGCAUUCGAAUGUAUCAGCACUAGUGGGCCAUUUUUGGUAAGCAGAACUGGCGAUGCGGGAUGAACCGAUCGCGAGGUUAAGGUGCCAGAGUAGACGCUCAUCAGACACCACAAAAGGUGUUAUCACAUCUUGACAGCAGGACGGUGGCCAUGGAAGUCGGAAUCCGCUAAGGACUGUGUAAGUUGACAUCGCUCUCCCCUAACCUCACGUUUUUUUUUUUCAGUGCAAGAACCAACGCUAACUCGCUAAUUUUCUAGGUAACAACUCACCUGCCGAAUGUGAUAGCCCUGAAAAUGGAUGGCGCUCAAGCGUCUCACCCAUACCUCGCCUUCAGGGUAGAAACGA